This 465-nucleotide ribosomal RNA is filed under the name uncultured bacterium. RNAcentral's name for it is "partial 16S ribosomal RNA". It matches the Rfam family "Bacterial small subunit ribosomal RNA", at positions 28 to 507 of the family's 1533-position model. The record is from RNAcentral.
GACGAACGCUGGCGGCGUGCUUAACACAUGCAAGUCGAACGGAAAGGCCCUGCUUGCAGGGUACUCGAGUGGCGAACGGGUGAGUAACACGUGGGUGAUCUGCCCUGCACUUCGGGAUAAGCCUGGGAAACUGGGUCUAAUACCGGAUAGGAGCCAUUUUUAGUGUGAUGGUUGGAAAGUUUUUUCGGUGUAGGAUGAGCUCGCGGCCUAUCAGCUUGUUGGUGGGGUAAUGGCCUACCAAGGCGGCGACGGGUAGCCGGCCUGAGAGGGUGGACGGCCACAUUGGGACUGAGAUACGGCCCAGACUCCUACGGGAGGCAGCAGUGGGGAAGAUUGCACAAUGGGCGCAAGCCUGAUGCAGCGACGCCGCGUGGGGGAUGACGGCCUUCGGGUUGUAAACUCCUUUCGCUAGGGACGAAGCUUUUUGUGACGGUACCUAGAGAAGAAGCACCGGCUAACUACGUG